UUACACCUGAUAGAUGUCUGCUCAUACCAGAUCGUCUUGA
Molecule: transfer RNA, 40 nt
Filed under: Psaltriparus minimus minimus
Lineage: Eukaryota; Metazoa; Chordata; Aves; Passeriformes; Aegithalidae
Description: partial tRNA-Val
Source: RNAcentral